UGAACGCUAGCGGCAGGCUUAACACAUGCAAGUCGAGGGGCAUCGGGAGUAGCAAUACUUGCCGGCGACCGGCGCAAGGGUGCGUAACGCGUGAGCAACAUGCCCGUAUCAGGGGGAUAAUCCAUGGAAACGUGGUCUAAUACCCCAUAGUAAUUAUGUAAGGCAUCUUAUAUAAUUUAAAGCUUUGGUGGAUACGGAUUGGCUCGCGUGACAUUAGCUAGAUGGUAAGGUAACGGCUUACCAUGGCUACGAUGUCUAGGGGUUCUGAGAGGAAGGUCCCCCACACUGGAACUGAGACACGGUCCAGACUCCUACGGGAGGCAGCAGUGAGGAAUAUUGGACAAUGGAUGGAAAUCUGAUCCAGCCAUGCCGCGUGCAAGGAAGACGGCCCUAUGGGUUGUAAACUGCUUUUGUAUGGGAGCAAUAAGGGCUACGCGUAGUCCGAUGAGAGUACCAUACGAAUAAGCACCGGCUAACUCCGUGCCAGCCGCCGC
RNAcentral lists this ribosomal RNA (494 nucleotides) under uncultured bacterium. Its description in RNAcentral is "bacterial SSU rRNA". It matches the Rfam family "Bacterial small subunit ribosomal RNA", at positions 30 to 518 of the family's 1533-position model. The record is from RNAcentral.